AGAGGAGAGAAAGAGUAGCUGGUGAGAAGGUUCUUCUGGAAGGCAAUCUGUCAGGUCUGGGGAACUGCAUGCAAACCCAGUGUGACUGGAUGGCCCACGAGACCAAUGGUGAUGCUGGAUUGAGAUCUUAGGGAGAGCAAAUGAUAAGCGAAGUAGCAUGGGGAGCAGCAACUAGAGUGAACAGAGGGAGCUGGAGAAUCCCAGUGGCUGAUAUUAUCAAGCCAUGAUCACCGGAGGCAUAUAUCUCCACACAAGUGACUCGACAUGCACCUGCUACUUGAAGAGGAUUCUGUUGCUCUGCUAAGCAGCGUUUCCCACUUUCAGGGCUGACAAUCCGCUUCCGAAGCAGAGCCCCUGAAGUCAAGUCCCGAGCAGACGUGCCCGCGCGCCCUGGCUGAGUCUGUGAGAACCUCGCACACACUCCCAUUGUGACACGGGCGCGACCUCGACCGUCCCCCCCGCGGAAGCUGGGCAUAGACUCAAACCCAAAGUAUUCUCGGUCCACGUUUACAGAUGUUAGCCCGUGUUCCAUUUUUAACUGUGACGUAGGCACGUGCACUGGUUGCCCAGGAGACACGAAUCUGGGCAAACGCGGCAGAAAAGUGCCGGAGGAAGGGCAGAUGUGUUUCCCGGAGGUCCUGCUCACGCACAGCCUCCGAGCUCCCCGUCAGUGCCCUCCCCCAGCCGCAGAGCCCCAGUCACACAGAGAGAGAGAGAGAGAGAGAGGCAGAGACAUAGGCAGAGGAAGAAGCAGGCUCCAUGCACCGGGAGCCCGACGUGGGAUUCGAUCCCGGGUCUCCAGGAUCGGGCCCUGGGCCAAAGGCAGGCGCCAAACUGCUGCGCCACCCAGGGAUCCCCACAGUAUGCUAACUUCUAUACAAAUGUUCAAAAGUCACAAUCUGAGCACACUGAGUGAUUGCAGGUACAACUCAAAAUGUAAGUAGAAUAUAAGUUCUGUGAUGAAAAUAAGUGUUAACACGAAGUGCUGUGAGUCAAAGGCAGGAUAUAUCUGAGCAAACUUCCUUAUAAGAUUCUAAUGUUUAAACCAAAAAUGGAGUUUUGGAGCCCAUAAAGCUGAGAGCUACCCUGUGGACCUUGGAGAGCCACUCUAUAAAGCUCUGUUUGAAUGAUUGCAACUCCGGAGGAGAGGAACAUCCAUCUACUCAGCUAUUACCAGCACAACACCUGGCAAAUAGAAAGCAUUUCAUAAAUGAGUAUGCGUAAAAACGAGAAGCUUGGAUAAAUAGAGUGGCUAUGGGCCAUUUCUUCACUUCCACUCUAAACUUCUAUGGGCCAAAUGGAUUUAUUUCCUUGUUAUUAUCUUCUUGUUGUUUUUAAACCUGGGCUCAGGCUUCCACAGAAAUACUACACACAAUAAUUCAGAAAUAAUCUCAAAGUAAUAAUGGCAACCAUAUUUUUAAUAGCCUGUUAUGCAUAAGGUUCUUUCUGUAUAUUGUCUUACUUAAUCCCGCCAAUAACCCAAGGAAGUCAGCACUAUCAUUCCUAUUUCACUGAAAAGAAGACAGAUUCAGAAUUGUUAAUAAUUUGCCCAAGUUCACUCAGCUCUCAACUGCAUUGCCGCCAGUAUUAAUGCUCUGAGUUACAGUCAGGAACUUCCCCUCCCCUUUCCAAGUCUAUCUGGUAAAAGCUAAAAAGUCUCAUCUUUUCCUUUGGGUAGAAGGCUGGGAUGGAGCAGGAAGGUGAGCCUGAGUCUGGGGCAAAUGGAGAGAGACUCUCUUAGUAGGAAAGCCCGCCAGAAUUAAGAACCAGGCAAGUGAGGCAAGUGGGCUGUGGAAGUGCAGAGCUGGUGCUGAUGAAGCAAGACAGGAGGCCUGGGCAGGUCACUGCAAGAAGAGCUAGAAAAAUGAACCUAAAGCCAAAGAGAAUUUGUAAGGGAUAGGCACCUAGGGAUGGGCAGAUUGUGCCUGCUUCAGAGUCAUACUGGUCUCCUUUCCAUAGGCUCUGACGCUUGAUACUUGGGAAAAUCACAGGAAGGCACAAUGCCGUAAUAUCCCGGUGUGGUGCCAGGCACCAAAGCAGUGGCUCAAUCAAUAGUCAUUGACUGAUUAACUGUCAUAGAGUUGCCCAUAAGGGAUUCAUUUACAGAUGUUUUUCACCCUUAAAAUUCAAGCAAAAAAGAGGUUCAGAAAAUUUGAGAAUGCUAACCCAAUCCAGGGAGGUACUUUCCCCCUCCCCUCCCCAUUUCCCAAACCAGCAGUCUCCACCCCAUGAAGAUGUUACCAUUCAACAUUUAUCAAUCCACUUAUUUGUUUUAAGAAUCAAACUGAAAUCCAUUUGCGCACUCUGUGAAAUGGCGUUGACUCUCAAGGAAGACAUAAUGGAGCUGGGGAGCUCCAAAGCAGAAAUUCCAAAAUGACCAAAGGAGAGAGAAUGACCUGCAGGGGUUUGGACUCUCAGUCGUGGGGCUGUGGCAGAAACUCAGGAAAGCCCUAUGACUCAGCCCCAUGAAGGGAAGAAAGAAGUGGGCCGUGUGAAUGGAAACAGAAUUUUCCAUCAAACUCCAUACCAAAAGGGCACAUGAUUUAAAGUUUGAAAAGAGGUCCACUGCCAUCUGACACACUGGGUACCAAGGUUAUGGAAUCUUCUCCUCAAAAAGUGGUUCAGGCUGUAAAUUAGAAAUUGUCUAAAAAAAAAGGCUUGUCUUUAGAUGUGUCUGGUCAUUACCUUGGCAACCCUUACAAAUGGCAACUGACGUCAAGAAAAGAGGAAAAACACUGCUGAGAGCGUACACUUCAUGCAUUAGAGAUCAUUCUGAGGACUUCAAAUUCUUAGACUCAUACAGGCACAAAUGGCUUUUAAAUGAGCACAAGCAAUCUUUCAUUUACAGUCUUCAUAAACUUAUUAAGACUGUGAGAUCUGAAAAGAGCAUCUUUGAGUUUUUAAUUUAAGCAAAAUACAAUUCAGCUACUUGCUUAGGUGUUCUGUCUCACAAUAACUGUCAAGUCCAUAAAAAUGUUGGGCCCUUAACAAAUCUCAAAAACAAAUGGAAGCUGCCUAUUUCUUCUGAAAAUAUUUUUCCUUAACUUUUUAAUAUGAAAAAGUUCAGAGUGCCUGAGUGGCUCAGUCGGUUAAGCAUCUGCCCUCAGUUCAGGUUAUGAUCCCGGGGUCUUGGGAAUCGUGUCCCACCGCAUGGUGUUCCCUGCUCUGUGGGGAGCCUUCCUCCUCCCUCUCCCUCUGCCUGCCACUCCCCCUGCUUGUGCUCUCUUUCUCUUUCUCUCUCUCCAUCUAAUAAGUUAAUAAAAUCUUUUUAAAAAAUAAUACGAAAAAGUUUAGACAUGGGGAAGUUGAAAGAAUUUUAGAGUGGACACCUAUAUAUUCAUCGCCCAGAGUUACCACUAUUCUGUUGUACUGACCCUAUCACAUACAUAUUCAUCUACUAUCUGUCUUCAUCAUCCAUAUAUCCAUCCCCUUGUGCAUAUCUUAAGCCAUCUAUUUUUUUGAUGCAUUCAAACAUCAAAAUUGCAGGCAUGAGUAUACUUCCCCCUAAAUAUUUCAUCAUGCAUAUCAUUAACUAUAGUUCAAUAUUUCUUCUGAUAUAAUAUUUACAAUGACAUGCACAAAUCUUAAAUGUACAUUUGCUGAGUUUUGAAAAAUGCAUAUACACUUCUAUCAAGAUAUUAAACACCACUAGGAACUCAUACGCCUCUUCCUAUUCAAUCCCACGCCAACCACUCCUGAUUUCUGAAAGUAUUUUUUAGAGCUUUGUAUUAGGGCUUAUUACUUCUUCUUUUUCAACAAUUUAUUUGUUUUAGAGAGAGAGACAGAGGAAGGGAACGAA
Canis lupus familiaris (dog) is the source of this 3799-nucleotide long non-coding RNA. RefSeq lists it as uncharacterized. The record is from RefSeq and is a predicted model, not a curated record. The transcript is spliced from 8 exons. NCBI's taxonomy places the organism in Eukaryota, Metazoa, Chordata, Mammalia, Carnivora, Canidae.